RNAcentral lists this long non-coding RNA (310 nucleotides) under Phaseolus vulgaris (common bean). RNAcentral's name for it is "long non-coding RNA (PVUL_LNC004287)". Lineage: Eukaryota; Viridiplantae; Streptophyta; Magnoliopsida; Fabales; Fabaceae. The record is from RNAcentral.
AUAGUUCUUAAUUAUUUGAGCUUGUUACAGAGUUGGGUCUGUGUGUUCAUUAGAUAUAUUAUAUGCGGGUUGUUUCUCUCUGCACCCCCAUAAUUUAAGAAAAGGCCAGUGUCCUUGUCUUUUGCGUGUUAGUUUUUCAAUUAGACUUUUUGGAAGGGUUAAAAAACCUUUGGGAUCUGAUGAUUGGAGAGGAAAAUUGUGGUAUGCAUAAUACAAUUUAUAAUUAUAAGGUCGACAACUCUAGAUUAGACUUUUAGGGAAAAGUGCAUUUUUGUCAUAGAUUCUGGAAGAGUGGAUCUGGAUUUUUUUU